Molecule: ribosomal RNA, 511 nt
Filed under: uncultured bacterium
Lineage: Bacteria
Description: bacterial SSU rRNA
Rfam family: Bacterial small subunit ribosomal RNA
Source: RNAcentral
UUAGAGUUCGAUUAUGGCUCAGAUUGAACGCUGGCGGAAUGCUUUACACAUGCAAGUCGAACGGCAGCAUAGAGAGCUUGCUCUCUGAUGGCGAGUGGCGAACGGGUGAGUAAUAUAUCGGAACGUGCCUAGUAAUGGGGAAUAACUAGCUGAAAGGUUAGCUAAUGCCGCAUACGACCUACGGGUGAAAGCAGGGGAUCUUCGGACCUUGCGUUAUUAGAGCGGCCGAUAUCUGAUUAGCUUGUUGGUGGGGUAAUAGCCUACCAAGGCGACGAUCAGUAGCUGGUCUGAGAGGACGAUCAGCCACACUGGAACUGAGACACGGUCCAGACUCCUACGGGAGGCAGCAGUGGGGAAUUUUGGACAAUGGGGGCAACCCUGAUCCAGCCAUUCCGCGUGAGUGAAGAAGGCCUUCGGGUUGUAAAGCUCUUUCGCAAGAGAAGAAAACUUACUAUCUAAUAAAUGGUAAGUAUGACGGUAUCUUGACAAGAAGCACCGGCUAACUACGUGC